RNAcentral lists this ribosomal RNA (585 nucleotides) under uncultured bacterium. RNAcentral's name for it is "partial 16S ribosomal RNA". It matches the Rfam family "Bacterial small subunit ribosomal RNA", at positions 355 to 1375 of the family's 1533-position model. The record is from RNAcentral.
UGGGGAAUUUUGGACAAUGGGCGAAAGCCUGAUCCAGCAAUGCCGCGUGUGUGAAGAAGGCCUUCGGGUUGUAAAGCACUUUUGUCCGGAAAGAAAUCCUUGGCUCUAAUACAGUCGGGGGAUGACGGUACCGGAAGAAUAAGCACCGGCUAACUACGUGCCAGCAGCCGCGGUAAUACGUAGGGUGCAAGCGUUAAUCGGAAUUACUGGGCGUAAAGCGUGCGCAGGCGGUUUGCUAAGACCGAUGUGAAAUCCCUGGGCUCAACCUGGGAACUGCAUUGGUGACUGGCAGGCUAGAGUAUGGCAGAGGGGGGUAGAAUUCCACGUGUAGCAGUGAAAUGCGUAGAGAUGUGGAGGAAUACCGAUGGCGAAGGCAGCCCCCUGGGCCAAUACUGACGCUCAUGCACGAAAGCGUGGGGAGCAAACAGGAUUAGAUACCCUGGUAGUCCACGCCCUAAACGAUGUCAACUAGUUGUUGGGGAUUCAUUUCCUUAGUAACGUAGCUAACGCGUGAAGUUGACCGCCUGGGGAGUACGGUCGCAAGAUUAAAACUCAAAUGAAUUGACGGGGUCAUAGCUGUUUCCU